UUCACGGAGAGUUUGAUCCUGGCUCAGGACGAACGCUGGCGGCGUGCUUAACACAUGCAAGUCGAACGAUG
Molecule: non-coding RNA, 71 nt
Filed under: Streptomyces acidiscabies
Lineage: Bacteria; Bacillati; Actinomycetota; Actinomycetes; Kitasatosporales; Streptomycetaceae
Also listed under: 19 other names
Description: Bacterial small subunit ribosomal RNA
Rfam family: Bacterial small subunit ribosomal RNA
Source: Rfam by way of RNAcentral